Phragmites australis (common reed) is the source of this 1590-nucleotide long non-coding RNA. RefSeq lists it as uncharacterized. The transcript is spliced from 3 exons. The record is from RefSeq and is a predicted model, not a curated record. NCBI's taxonomy places the organism in Eukaryota, Viridiplantae, Streptophyta, Magnoliopsida, Poales, Poaceae.
UAGUGCUCCUUAUAUCUAGAGAAGUUUCUCACAUGAUUCAGGCCAUGUGCUGUGUGAAAAGUGUUAGUCAAAGCUUUGGUGCUGUUCAAAAAGCAUGAACUCAGAAGUCAGAACCAUGGUGAUGCGACGCAGACAUCUCUGUUGGCAGAAAGAUGUCUUUAGUUCUCUUAUGCUUGGAAUGGCGGAACAAGUUAAGUAUUUCUAACUUUUAUUUGUUUCACGGUAGAUACCUCAUGGCACACUGGAAGUGAGUCUGCACCAUGAUUGCACCAUUUGUUUUACGGUAGAUACCUCAUGGCACACCGGAAGUGAGUCUGCACAUGAUUGCACCAAUGUGCAUAAUCGUUCUGAUAGUAGAGAUACUAAUAGGGUUAUCUUUAUUAGGAAGGACCACCUGUGUAGACCUUAGCAGAAGUUGUCUUGCUUGUGAUUAUUCUUUGUUUUGCACACCUAAUACGUGCAAACCUAUGUGAACUUGUGAAGCUUGCAGCUGCUAUGAAAUCAGCUGGUUUCCUGGGUGGACAAGCCAACUCAAUAUUGUUUUUGCCUGCUUUGCAUAAAAAACAGGAGGCCAUGGCUAAUAAAAAUUGAGGCUGCCACCAUGGUUGGCAACAGCAAUCUGGGUUGAUAAUUGGUGGAUUCUGCCUAAAAAUAUGGCAACCAGAGAAGAAAAAGCAAAGCCUGGAAUUUAUUUACAUGGAGGGGAAAACAAAAUAGUGCGAUAUAAGAGGAAAGCAGUAAGCCUCAUAUGGAACUAAUUUUCAGUAUGUCACAUAUGCAUAUGUCCACACAACCCCAUAAUUUUCUUAUUGUAACCUCUUAUAAUCUGAUGUCUUCCUAAUUAAAACUAAUUGCUGGCAUUCAUCCUUUGUAAUUUCAGUUAGAAGAAUUUGUUGAGAUGUACAUGUAUCUAAUUUGAUAUGUGUUUUCCUUUGGCAAUGGUGGACAACUAGGAAUGUACAUUAACUCUGAGGUCGUCGGCUGUCAGAAGAUAAAUUCCAGUACUUUGUGCAGUCUCUAUUACGGGAGUGCAAACAAUGGAGAAACAAACAGUUAUACUUGUGUACAAAUGGGGAACCAAGAGUUCCUUUUGUGAAGAUCAACCGCCAUGUGUUGUUCCUGUAGCAAAACAAAACAGAUGGUUAGGGCUUCAACUUCAGAAAUUGUGAGGACAAAUUCAUUUUUGCUGGUGCUGGGAAUUUACCCCAUGUGCAAGAUGCCAUGCAUGCAAAAUUGGAGAGCUGCAUACAUGUUAUUAAAUCUGCAAUUGAGCUUAUCUUAGGCAAUAUUAUCUUUGAGAUAGAUGCUCUACUGGUGAAGCGAGCACCAAAGAGAGAUGCAUAUGACCUAUCAAUAUAUGAGAAUAUUAUUCAGGAAACAAAUAAGCCAUUGCGUGCUUGUUUUACUCGUGUUCAUCUUUCUUGUUGUAAGCGUGAUUGUAACAUUGUAACCCAUGAAUUAGCAAGUAUUGGAUCUAUGAUGGAGUCAGCCACGACCAUAAGUUGGCUGAAUAUGUUCCUGAUUGUAUUUCACUCAUGGUGGCAAGUGAUUCUGCUGUCAACCUCGAUGAAUUAUACUCAUUUUAUGCAG